ACCGUCGACGACGAUGAUCUCAUCUCUUAUAUUGUUGCAGGGUUAGAUGAUGAUUUCGAGCCAGUGGUGUCCAAUAUCGUUGGACGACCCGAAUCAAUCACAGUGGCUGAAGCCUUGGCGCAGCUCCUGAGUUUCGAGC
This is a non-coding RNA of Oryza brachyantha (malo sina), 139 nucleotides long. NCBI's taxonomy places the organism in Eukaryota, Viridiplantae, Streptophyta, Magnoliopsida, Poales, Poaceae. The record is from Rfam.